GGGAGGAGUAGAGGAAUGGUGUGAAGGUAGUCGUCCUCUCUGUUUCUCCUUGCGCUUUUGUUGCUGUUUGGAGGGAAUCUCACUACCACCGGAGAAUGAGGCGAUUCCCUCUGAAUCUGUGCAGGAAUUCUUAGGAUCUGAGGGCGGAGUGGGGAUCAGAAGAGAAAAGAUUCCAACUUGGCGAGGAUUCUCUGCUGAAUGAAGAGGUCUCUGCGGCGAUUUGGGCUUGCGGAUUGGAUUUGGAGCUGGGUGGUAUAGAAAUGGUGAGCAUUUGCUGAGAAACCCGUCACCUCUUGGGGGAAGAAAGGGGAUUUUGGGAGAUGGUAUUGCGUUGUUGGUGCUCUGGUCUUGUGGUUUUUCAGUUAAAAGGCUGUAGGUUGUAUCGCGCUGUGGACUGGGUUUCUAGAGUUUGAGAGUAUAGGGUGUCUGUUGUCGAAGCUUUGAAGUUUCCUCGGGGGAAAGGGUAAGUUUCUUUUAUUUAGCUUAGGGUUUCCUAGUGUUCAUUAAGGCGAGUUGGGGUUUGGGUUUUGAUCUUCAAGGAAAUUCCUAAAAGAAGCUUGCAGACAGGUGGGAUUUCUCGGAUUCUCUUAACUGAAUUGGGAUUUCUCUGGUUCUUUCUCUGGUAGCGGUGUUUCUCGUAGAAAGGAAUUUGCGAAAGAAGGAAUUGUUGAUGGUAGAAGAUUCGAUGGCUUUGCUUUGUUAAAAGCAUUCGCUGAAAAAAUUAGUCGGAGACUAAUCAGAACCAUGAUCACAUUCAGCAGCGAACCUGUCAAAGAAUCGAUGAAGGACGCUGAUAAGUGCUUGGACUCCCAGCUCUGGCACGCAUGCGCCGGAGGGAUGGUUCAGAUGCCGGCGGUGAACUCCAAGGUGUACUACUUCCCCCAGGGCCACGCAGAGCACGCCCAAGGCAUCGUGGACUUUGGGAGCUUUCCCCGUGUCCCGGCGCUCGUCCUUUGCCGGGUGACUGUUGUGAAAUUCAUGGCAGAUCCGGAGACGGACGAGGUGUUUGCCAAGAUCCACAUGGUUCCAGUUCGAUCCAAUGAGCCGGACUCUGGCGAUGAUGAUGGAAUGGGCCUCGGUAGCAACGCGGCUGAUGUACAGGAAAAGCCUGCUUCUUUUGCCAAGACGCUGACCCAGUCGGACGCCAACAACGGUGGGGGCUUCUCUGUUCCUCGCUACUGCGCCGAGACCAUCUUCCCGCGGUUGGACUACUCGGCGGACCCUCCAGUCCAGACUGUUCUUGCCAAGGAUGUGCAUGGCGAGGUUUGGAAGUUCAGGCAUAUAUACAGAGGGACCCCUCGCCGCCACUUGCUUACCACUGGGUGGAGCACUUUUGUGAACCAGAAGAAGCUUGUCGCUGGCGAUUCGAUCGUGUUCCUGAGAGCAGAGAAUGGGGAUCUCUGUGUGGGGAUCAGACGGGCCAAAAGAGGGGUCGGUGGAGGGCAUGAGUCUCCGUCCGGGUGGAAUCCCCCCACCGGAAACUGUGUCUCAGCCUAUGGGGGUUUUUCUGUCUUCCUAAGGGAAGAAGAGAAUAAGUUGAUGAGAAGCAAUGGAAAUGGUGGUAACUUGGAUUCUGGUGGUAAUAUGAGGGGAAGGGGUCGAGUGAGGGCCGAUUCCGUUAUUGAGGCGGCAACACUUGCCGCUAAUGGGCAGCCUCUCGAGGUAAUCUACUACCCAAGAGCUGGUACACCUGAGUUCUGUGUGAAAGCUGCAGCGGUGAAGGCAGCGAUGAGAAUCCGGUGGUGCCCGGGGAUGAGAUUUAAGAUGGCUUUCGAAACCGAGGACUCCUCGAGGAUCAGCUGGUUCAUGGGGACGAUAUCUUCUGUUCAGGUUGCAGAUCCGAUAGGAUGGCCUAAUUCACCUUGGAGGCUUCUUCAGGUGACAUGGGAUGAACCAGAUUUAUUGCAGAAUGUGAAACGUGUGAGCCCAUGGCUGGUAGAACUGGUUUCUAACAUGCCGGCUAUCCAUUUAGCACCCUUCUCACCACCGCGGAAGAAGAUUUGCAUCCCCCAACGCCCUGAUUUUCCCAUUGAAGGCCAGCUUCCAACUCCGUCUUUCCCCAGAAACCCCUUUGGGCCCAGCAGCAGCCCCUUGUGCUGCUUCCCGGACAGCACUCCUGCAGGCAUACAGGGAGCCAGGCAUGCUCAAUUUGGUUUAGCUCUAUCAGAUCUCCGCCUCAACAAACUGCAGUCAGAUCUGUUCCAUGCUGGGCUUCACCGGCUUGAUCAAGCCACUGCACACUCUAGAAUCUCUACAGGACUUAUCAUUGGCAAUCCUGCCAUUCAUGACAAUGUGUCUUGUUUGUUAACCACUGCCACUCCAUCUCAGAGAACAAAGAAAUUAUGCAAUGGAAAGUCACCUCAGUUGGUCCUCUUUGGGCAGCCGAUACUCACCGAACAGCAGAUAUCUUUGAGCAAUUCUGGGGACACAGUCUCCCCUGGAGUUACUGGAAACAGUUCACUGGAUGGUAAUCCUGAAAGGACCACAAACGUAUCAGAUGGUUCUGGCUCUGCAGUUCAUCAAAACGGGCUUGCAGAGAAUUCGUCAUGUGAGGGAUUUCCAUGGUACAGGGAUCGCCAAGCAUCUGAGCUUGGUCUGGAGACUGGACAUUGCAAGGUGUUCAUGGAAUCAGAGGAUGUAGGUCGCACGCUGGACCUUUCUGUCCUUGGCUCAUAUGAAGAGCUGUAUGGGAGGCUUGCUGACAUGUUUGGGAUUGAUAAAUCGGAGAUGAUGAGCCAUGUGCUCUACCGAGAUGCAGUGGGCGCAGUUAAACAAACUGGAGAUGAACCGUUCAGCCAUGAAGUUCAGAUAAGCACAUUCGCGAGAAAGGCAGUCUGCUUCCGAUGGCAUAUCUGAACUUGAAAAAUGACCUUAGCUAUUCCUAUGAUAAUCGGAAAUCCUGCAUUUCUGGUGGUUAUAUUGGUGUAGGUGGUACGAGUUCAUGAAAACGGCACGGAGGCUGACGAUAUUAGCAGAUUCAGGCAGCGACAAUUUAGGAAGGUAGGCAAACUCUCUCAUCAAAUGUACAGUUGAGCGAGCAAGUGUUGUUUAGCACCAUCUUCAUGGACCCUUUUGUUUAUGAAUGCUGAUUGAAGUUCCCGGAGACAGUUUUCUCUGUUAUUUCAAUGCCCGGAAUGGGCUCUGGCUCUAGACUUUGUUUUAUCAUCUUAAAUUAAUAGAAGGAUUUUUCUUCUCAUGUUUCUUCCUGGAAA
Molecule: non-coding RNA, 3212 nt
Organism: Phoenix dactylifera (date palm)
Lineage: Eukaryota; Viridiplantae; Streptophyta; Magnoliopsida; Arecales; Arecaceae
Source: RefSeq, a predicted model, not a curated record